GGCUGAGUCUGGGCCUCAGGACCUGCGUGCAGGCAGGGACCCUCCCCAAACCCACGUUCAGGGCUGAACCAGACUCUGUAAUAACCUAGGGGAGGCCCGUGGCCCUCUGGUGUCAGGAGACCCUAGAGGCUCAGGAGUGUGGUCUGGAUAAAGAGGAAAGCCCAGUGUUCAGGAGCACACAGAGCUCGCCGAAGCCCAGGACAGCGUGAGUCCUCCGUCUCACUCAGGACAAAGCACCAUGCAGGGGAAUAUUGCUGUGAGUAUUUCAGUCCUGCUGGCAGGUGAGCACUCAGAGACCCCCUGCAGCUGGUGGUAACAG
This 319-nucleotide long non-coding RNA is filed under the name Homo sapiens (human). RNAcentral's name for it is "non-protein coding lnc-LILRA1-2:1". The record is from RNAcentral. Lineage: Eukaryota; Metazoa; Chordata; Mammalia; Primates; Hominidae.